AUGAGUGGCGAUUUGGGUGAGUAACACGUGAGUAACCUGCCCCUGAUUUCGGGAUAAGCCUGGGAAACUGGGUCUAAUACCGGAUACGACCAAUCCUUGCAUGAGGGUUGGUGGAAAGUUUUUCGAUCGGGGAUGGGCUCGCGGCCUAUCAGCUUGUUGGUGGGGUAAUGGCCUACCAAGGCGACGACGGGUAGCCGGCCUGAGAGGGCGACCGGCCACACUGGGACUGAGACACGGCCCAGACUCCUACGGGAGGCAGCAGUGGGGAAUAUUGCACAAUGGGGGAAACCCUGAUGCAGCGACGCAGCGUGCGGGAUGACGGCCUUCGGGUUGUAAACCGCUUUCAGCAGGGAAGAAGCGAAAGUGACGGUACCUGCAGAAGAAGUACCGGCUAACUACGUGCCAGCAGCCGCGGUAAUACGUAGGGUACGAGCGUUGUCCGGAAUUAUUGGGCGUAAAGAGCUCGUAGGUGGUUGGUCACGUCUGCUGUGGAAACGCAACGCUUAACGUUGCGCGUGCAGUGGGUACGGGCUGACUAGAGUGCAGUAGGGGAGUCUGGAAUUCCUGGUGUAGCGGUGAAAUGCGCAGAUAUCAGGAGGAACACCGGUGGCGAAGGCGGGACUCUGGGCUGUAACUGACACUGAGGAGCGAAAGCAUGGGGAGCGAACAGGAUUAGAUACCCUGGUAGUCCAUGCCGUAAACGUUGGGGCACUAGGUGUGGGGGGACAUUUCCACGUUCUCCGCGCCGUAGCUAACGCAUUAAGUGCCCCGCCCUGGGGGAGUACGGUCGCAAGGCUAAAACUCAAAAGGAAUUGACGGGGGCCCGCACAAGCGGCGGAGCAUGCGGAUUAAUUCGAUGCAACCGCGAAAGAACCUUACCCAAGGCUUGGACAUACACUGGGACCCGUUUCUUGGGAAACAGUUCUUUCUCCUUUUGGGAAGCUUGGGUGUUACAGUGGGUGGCAUAGUGUCCGUCAGCCUCCGUGUCCGUUGAGAUGGUUGGUUUAGUUCCCGCAACGGACGCAACCUCUCCGUUUCUAUGGUUGCCCAGCU
RNAcentral lists this ribosomal RNA (1053 nucleotides) under Brevibacterium sp. MR10-2. RNAcentral describes it as "bacterial SSU rRNA". It matches the Rfam family "Bacterial small subunit ribosomal RNA", at positions 91 to 1128 of the family's 1533-position model. The record is from RNAcentral. Lineage: Bacteria; Bacillati; Actinomycetota; Actinomycetes; Micrococcales; Brevibacteriaceae.